CCUGGUUGAUUCUGCCAGUAGUCAUAUGCUUGUCUCAAAGAUUAAGCCAUGCAUGUCUAAGUAUAAGCAACUUUGUACUGUGAAACUGCGAAUGGCUCAUUAAAUCAGUUAUAGUUUAUUUGAUGGUUUUUGCUACAUGGAUAACUGUGGUAAUUCUAGAGCUAAUACAUGCAUUCAAGCCCCGACUUCUGGAAGGGGUGUAUUUAUUAGAUAAAAAUCAACUUUGUUGGUGAAUCAUAAUAACUUCUCGGACCGCAUGGCCUCGUGCUGGCGGUGCUUCAUUCAAAUAUCUGCCCUAUCAACUGUCGAUGGUAGGAUAGAGGCCUACCAUGGUUGCAACGGGUAACGGGGAAUAAGGGUUCGAUUCCGGAGAGGGAGCCUGAGAAACGGCUACCACAUCCAAGGAAGGCAGCAGGCGCGCAAAUUACCCAAUCCCAACACGGGGAGGUAGUGACAAUAUGUAACAAUAUACGGCCUUAUACGUCGUAUAAUUGGAAUGAGUACAAUUUAAAUCCCUUAACGAGGAACAAUUGGAGGGCAAGUCUGGUGCCAGCAGCCGCGGUAAUUCCAGCUCCAAUAGCGUAUAUUAAAGUUGUUGCAGUUAAAAAGCUCGUAGUUGGACCUUGGACCUGGACAGGCGGUCCGCCUCACGGCGAGUACUGUCUUGCUGGGUCUUUCCUCUUGGUGAUCUGUUAUUUCGGCAGCAGGGAACCAGGACCUUUACUUUGAAAAAAUUAGAGUGUUCAAAGCAGGCUCGACGCCGGAAUAUAUUAGCAUGGAAUAAUAAAAUAGGACGUGCGGUCUAUUUUGUUGGUUUUUGGAAUCGCCGUAAUGAUUAAUAGGGACAGUCGGGGGCAUUAGUACUCACAUGCUAGAGGUGAAAUUCUUGGAUUU
RNAcentral lists this ribosomal RNA (894 nucleotides) under uncultured fungus. RNAcentral's name for it is "SSU rRNA". It matches the Rfam family "Eukaryotic small subunit ribosomal RNA", at positions 3 to 927 of the family's 1831-position model. The record is from RNAcentral. Lineage: Eukaryota; Fungi.